RNAcentral lists this ribosomal RNA (500 nucleotides) under uncultured bacterium. Its description in RNAcentral is "partial 16S ribosomal RNA". It matches the Rfam family "Bacterial small subunit ribosomal RNA", at positions 30 to 523 of the family's 1533-position model. The record is from RNAcentral.
AUUGAACGCUGGCGGCAUGCCUUACACAUGCAAGUCGAACGGCAGCACGGGAGUAAUCCUGGUGGCGAGUGGCGAACGGGUGAGUAAUAUAUCGGAACGUGCCCAGUCGUGGGGGAUAACGCAGCGAAAGCUGUGCUAAUACCGCAUACGAUCUAAGGAUGAAAGCGGGGGAUCGCAAGACCUCGCGCGAUUGGAGCGGCCGAUAUCAGAUUAGCUAGUUGGUGGGGUAAAGGCCCACCAAGGCGACGAUCUGUAGCUGGUCUGAGAGGACGACCAGCCACACUGGAACGUGGACACGGUCCAGACUCCUACGGGAGGCAGCAGUGGGGAAUUUUGGACAAUGGGCGCAAGCCUGAUCCAGCAAUGCCGCGUGCAGGAUGAAGGCCUUCGGGUUGUAAACUGCUUUUGUACGGAACGAAACGGCCCUUUCUAAUACAGGGGGCUAAUGACGGUACCGUAAGAAUAAGCACCGGCUAACUACGUGCCAGCCGCCGCCGUAA